Molecule: transfer RNA, 70 nt
Filed under: Ramosomyia violiceps (violet-crowned hummingbird)
Lineage: Eukaryota; Metazoa; Chordata; Aves; Apodiformes; Trochilidae
Description: tRNA-Lys
Source: RNAcentral
CACUAGGAAGCUAGGCAACAGCACUAGCCUUUUAAGCUAGAGAAAGAGGACCACUAACCCUCCCUAAUGA